AUGCAAGUCGAACGGUAACAGGUCUUCGGAUGCUGACGAGUGGCGAACGGGUGAGUAAUACAUCGGAACGUGCCCGAUCGUGGGGGAUAACUACUCGAAAGAGUGGCUAAUACCGCAUACGAUCUACGGAUGAAAGCAGGGGACCCGCAAGGGCCUUGCGCGGACGGAGCGGCCGAUGGCAGAUUAGGUAGUUGGUGGGAUAAAAGCUUACCAAGACCGCGAUCUGUAGCUGGUCUGAGAGGACGACCAGCCACACUGGGACUGAGACACGGCCCAGACUCCUACGGGAGGCAGCAGUGGGGAAUUUUGGACAAUGGGGGAAACCCUGAUCCAGCAAUGCCGCGUGCAGGAUGAAGGCCUUCGGGUUGUAAACUGCUUUUGUACGGAACGAAAAGGUUCUUUCUAAUAAAGAGAGCCCAUGACGGUACCGUAAGAAUAAGCACCGGCUAACUACGUGCCAGCAGCCGCGGUAAUACGUAGGGUGCAAGCGUUAAUCGGAAUUACUGGGCGUAAAGCGUGCGCAGGCGGUUAUGUAAGACAGAUGUGAAAUCCCCGGGCUCAACCUGGGAAUUGCAUUAGUGACUGCAUAGCUUGAGUGCGGCAGAGGGGGAUGGAAUUCCGCGUGUAGCAGUGAAAUGCGUAGAUAUGCGGAGGAACACCGAUGGCGAAGGCAAUCCCCUGGGCCUGCACUGACGCUCAUGCACGAAAGCGUGG
This 714-nucleotide ribosomal RNA is filed under the name uncultured Simplicispira sp. RNAcentral describes it as "bacterial SSU rRNA". It matches the Rfam family "Bacterial small subunit ribosomal RNA", at positions 55 to 764 of the family's 1533-position model. The record is from RNAcentral. Lineage: Bacteria; Pseudomonadati; Pseudomonadota; Betaproteobacteria; Burkholderiales; Comamonadaceae.